Long non-coding RNA from Acipenser ruthenus (sterlet), 350 nucleotides. RefSeq lists it as uncharacterized. The transcript is spliced from 5 exons. NCBI's taxonomy places the organism in Eukaryota, Metazoa, Chordata, Actinopteri, Acipenseriformes, Acipenseridae. The record is from RefSeq and is a predicted model, not a curated record.
ACGAAAAACCUGUCCGGACCCGAGCCAUAAAGAAACUGCGGAAAUAUCUCAGCAUCAGAUCACAGAAACCAACAGGUGGGUUUAGUAAUGAUGAACUGCUCAAGAUAUGGAAAGGCCUUUUCUACUGCAUGUGGAUGCAAGACAAGCCUCUUUUGCAAGAAGAAUUGGCAGCUGUUAUUUCUCGGCUGAUACAUUCCUUGCAGAAGUCUGAUGCCCAGUAUUUAUUUCUAGAGACCUUCCUUCAGACCAUGAAUCGGGAAUGGAAUGGCAUAGACAGACUGCGCCUUGAUAAAUUUUACAAGCUCAUCCGAAUGGUUUUAAGGCAGUCUUUUGAAAUGCUGAAGAGGGGA